This 462-nucleotide ribosomal RNA is filed under the name uncultured bacterium. Its description in RNAcentral is "partial 16S ribosomal RNA". It matches the Rfam family "Bacterial small subunit ribosomal RNA", at positions 28 to 507 of the family's 1533-position model. The record is from RNAcentral.
GACGAACGCUGGCGGCGUGCUUAACACAUGCAAGUCGAACGGAAAGGCCCUUCGGGGUACUCGAGUGGCGAACGGGUGAGUAACACGUGGGUGAUCUGCCCUGCACUUUGGGAUAAGCCUGGGAAACUGGGUCUAAUACCGAAUAGGACCGCGCGCUUCAUGGUGUGUGGUGGAAAGCUUUUGCGGUGUGGGAUGGGCCCGCGGCCUAUCAGCUUGUUGGUGGGGUAAUGGCCUACCAAGGCGACGACGGGUAGCCGGCCUGAGAGGGUGACCGGCCACACUGGGACUGAGAUACGGCCCAGACUCCUACGGGAGGCAGCAGUUGGGAAUAUUGCACAAUGGGCGCAAGCCUGAUGCAGCGACGCCGCGUGAGGGAUGACGGCCUUCGGGUUGUAAACCGCUUUCACCAGGGACGAAGCGCAAGUGACGGUACCUGGAGAAGAAGCACCGGCCAACUACGUG